AUCAUAUGUUUACCAUCUGAUUGUACAAGGUACUCAGUACCAAGGCAAAAGUUAUAAAGGCAUGCAGGCAGAAAUGGCUGGAUACAUGUGCCUGACCUGUCAGAAUUAUGAAGGAAAGGGAAAAGCUGUGCAGAAAAACUACAAAAUGUGGCCAUGAAGAGAUCUGUGGAAAGAAAGAGAUCUGCAGAGAGAAAAGAAAAUGUCAUUUAAAAACAUAACUAAUGUUACUGACAUUACUAAUAACAGAAAGGGCUUCAAAUCAUUUAAGCACUUCUCUAACAUGAAUUCUUCACGAUCGCCUGUAAGCAGCCAUAGCAAAGGAUUCCAACAGCCAGCGAGCCAGCUUUCAACUGUGCCUCAGCUGGAAGAUGUUUUGAAAUCUGCCAACUUGCCUCCUCGGGGUAAGGUUUGGGAAUUUUGUGUUUUUGUUUUUAAAUAAGUUUCAGACCUUUGUCUUAUUGUGGACUAACAGAGCUCCACUGAAGUCUAGCACAGCAUCAAAGGCAUUUAGAUAUGUACAGAUACAAAUAAAUAGCAGAAUUUUAAGCA
Molecule: long non-coding RNA, 549 nt
Organism: Pezoporus flaviventris
Lineage: Eukaryota; Metazoa; Chordata; Aves; Psittaciformes; Psittacidae
Exons: 2
Source: RefSeq, a predicted model, not a curated record